This 150-nucleotide unclassified non-coding RNA is filed under the name soil metagenome. RNAcentral describes it as "partial internal transcribed spacer 1". The record is from RNAcentral.
CCGAGUUUACAACUCCCAAACCCCUGUGAACAUACCUAUACGUUGCCCUCGGCGGAUCAGCCCGCGCCCCGUUAAAAAGGGACGGCCCGCCCGAGGACCCCUAAACUCCGUUUUAGUGGAACUUCUGAGUAAGACAAACAAAUAAAUUCA